GGAGACGUACUCAAGAGGCUAAGAGGACACCCUGCUAAGGUGUUAGAUCGCUAUGCGAUGCAUGAGUUCGAAUCUCAUCGUCUCCGCCA
RNAcentral lists this transfer RNA (89 nucleotides) under Mycoplasmataceae bacterium. RNAcentral describes it as "tRNA-Ser". It matches the Rfam family "tRNA". Rfam says of the family: Transfer RNA (tRNA) molecules are approximately 80 nucleotides in length. Their secondary structure includes four short double-helical elements and three loops (D, anti-codon, and T loops). The record is from RNAcentral. Lineage: Bacteria; Bacillati; Mycoplasmatota; Mollicutes; Mycoplasmatales; Mycoplasmataceae.